UACGAAGGGGGCUAGCGUUGCUCGGAAUUACUGGGCUUAAAGGGUGCGUAGGCUGCGCGGAAAGUUGGGUGUGAAAUCCCUCGGCUCAACCGAGGAACUGCGCCCAAAACUGUCGUGCUCGAGGAAGAUAGAGGUAAGCGGAACUUACGGUGGAGCGGUGAAAUGCGUUGAUAUCGUAAGGAACACCUGUGGCGAAAGCGGCUUACUGGGUCUUUUCUGACGCUGAUGCACGAAAGCUAGGGGAGCAAACGGG
This 253-nucleotide ribosomal RNA is filed under the name uncultured bacterium. RNAcentral's name for it is "partial 16S ribosomal RNA". It matches the Rfam family "Bacterial small subunit ribosomal RNA", at positions 524 to 776 of the family's 1533-position model. The record is from RNAcentral.